GACGAACGCUGGCGGCGUGCUUAACACAUGCAAGUCGAACGGUAAGGCCCUUCGGGGUACACGAGUGGCGAACGGGUGAGUAACACGUGGGUGAUCUGCCCUGCACUUCGGGAUAAGCCUGGGAAACUGGGUCUAAUACCGGAUAGGACCACUGCCUGCAUGGGUGGUGGUGGAAAGCUUUUGCGGUGUGGGAUGGGCCCGCGGCCUAUCAGCCUGUUGGUGGGGUUAUGGCCUAUCAAGGCGACGACGGUUAGCCGGCCUGAGAGGGUGACCGUUCAGGCUGGGACUGAGAUACGACCCAGGAUCCUACGGGAGGCAGAAGGGGGGAAAAUUACACAUUGGGGGCAAGCCUGAUGCAGCGACGCCGCGUGAGGGAUGACGGCCUUCGGGUUGUAAACCUCUUUCAGCACCGACGAAGCGCAAGUGACGGUAGGUGCAGAAGAAGGACCGGCCAACUACGUGCCAGCCGCCGCGGUAA
This 478-nucleotide ribosomal RNA is filed under the name uncultured bacterium. RNAcentral describes it as "partial 16S ribosomal RNA". It matches the Rfam family "Bacterial small subunit ribosomal RNA", at positions 28 to 523 of the family's 1533-position model. The record is from RNAcentral.